RNAcentral lists this ribosomal RNA (572 nucleotides) under [Candida] boidinii. Its description in RNAcentral is "LSU rRNA". It matches the Rfam family "Eukaryotic large subunit ribosomal RNA", at positions 38 to 633 of the family's 3401-position model. Lineage: Eukaryota; Fungi; Ascomycota; Pichiomycetes; Pichiales; Pichiaceae. The record is from RNAcentral.
GCAUAUCAAUAAGCGGAGGAAAAGAAACCAACAGGGAUUGCCUUAGUAGCGGCGAGUGAAGCGGCAAGAGCUCAAAUUUGAAAUCUGGUACUUUCAGUAUCCGAGUUGUAAUUUGAAGAAAGUUAUCUUGGAGUUGGCCCUUGUCUAUGUUCCUUGGAACAGGACGUCACAGAGGGUGAGAAUCCCGUGCGAUGGGGUGCCCAUUCUAUGUAAGAUACUUUCGACGAGUCGAGUUGUUUGGGAAUGCAGCUCUAAGUGGGUGGUAAAUUCCAUCUAAAGCUAAAUAUUGGCGAGAGACCGAUAGCGAACAAGUACAGUGAUGGAAAGAUGAAAAGAACUUUGAAAAGAGAGUGAAAAAGUACGUGAAAUUGUUGAAAGGGAAGGGUAUUUGAUCAGACUGAUAUUCAGUUAACACUGUUCCUUGUGGAUGGUGCUCUAGCUUUUUAUUGGGCCAGCAUCAGUUUAGGUGGCAGGAUAAGAACUGUUGAACGUGGCUCUUCGGAGUGUUAUAGCUUCAGUUGAUACUGCCUAUCUAGACUGAGGUCUGCGGCUUUGCCUAGGAUGCUGGCGUA